AUAGAAUUUGACAUUCUGGUUAUUUUUAUUUUUACCCAUCGACAAAAACGCCAAACAACAUUUUGUAUAAAAACUUUUCGGCGUUUUAUAUAUUUUUUCUUUAUACAAAGUGUGCUGCGUUAUUAUCGAUUUUGACAAUCGAUGCGCAAUUGGUAAUUUACUUUUUGCUCGGCACAGCGUGCUUUCUAUGUGCUUUAUAUAAUCGCGGCGAGUGCACAAUAUAAUUGUCAGGUGAAUGCUGCAUUUUGUGUGGCUAAUAACAUUUUGUAUAUAUUAAAUUGCAGCAUUUUAUUUAUAAAACUUUUUUCGAGCAUUUUCGACUUCGCCCCAAACGAGCG
This is a long non-coding RNA of Drosophila sulfurigaster albostrigata, 338 nucleotides long. RefSeq lists it as uncharacterized. The record is from RefSeq and is a predicted model, not a curated record. The transcript is spliced from 2 exons. Lineage: Eukaryota; Metazoa; Arthropoda; Insecta; Diptera; Drosophilidae.